Molecule: long non-coding RNA, 484 nt
Organism: Mus caroli (Ryukyu mouse)
Lineage: Eukaryota; Metazoa; Chordata; Mammalia; Rodentia; Muridae
Source: RefSeq, a predicted model, not a curated record
UUUUUAUUUAUAACACAGUCGUGGUAGUAGAUAUUAUUCUUCCCUUUAGGGAGCACAGCUGAAGCACCCGAUAGCAACUCUAAGCAGAAUCAGAAGAUGGCACCAGAUCACCUGGAAUUGCAGUUACAGACAGAGAUGAGAAACUAUAGACAACAGGGAGACUGCUUAUUCUUCAAUACAGAUGUUUAUAGAGGAUCCAGGUUUGCUCUCCAGAAUCCAGAUGGCAGCUCACAACAAGUCUCUAGGGAGUUUCAGGAGAUCUCAUGCCCUCUUCUGGCCUCUGUGGGCUCUAUACAUGCACAAGAAACAAAGACACACGUGCAGACAGGAGCCUAGCAUGGCUGUCUUCUCAGAGGCUAACUCACACAGCAGCUAACUCAUACAGAUGGAGACACAUCCAAACAGUGGACGGAGCUCAUGGAAGAAUAAAAGGAAGGAUUGUCGACUCCACAGGGGAUAGGAACUCCACAGAAAGGCCAACAGU